Molecule: ribosomal RNA, 1806 nt
Filed under: Triticum aestivum (bread wheat)
Lineage: Eukaryota; Viridiplantae; Streptophyta; Magnoliopsida; Poales; Poaceae
Description: partial small subunit ribosomal RNA
Source: RNAcentral
GACGACCCGGCCGUCCUACGAGGCAGCGACCCAUAGCGAGUUAGCGACCAUACACGCGUUAUCGGGGUUCUACGUAUAUCCACCUCUUCUUCUCGUGGGUCUGUGGCUUGACUGCAGUACUAAUUACCGUUUGCUAGUUGGUAUACAGUGCAGCCUGGUGCCAUCUGCCAUGGCGGCCACGACGGCGAGUCUGGCGGGUUUGGCGACGGUGGCCCAGCUGGCUUUGUACGUCCACGGGCUGGUCACGAAGAUCACCGGGGCGGCGGAGACUGCCCGGCAGAACAAGCUGGAGUGCAAGAAUCUCGCGAGCCGCGUAUCCGUGAUCGGCGACCUGCUGCUGCAGCUGCAGGACCCGGCGGUGGCGCAGCCGCUGGCCGGGCUGGGCCACACGCUCCAGGAGGCGCACGAUCUCGUCGUCGCUUGCCAGAAAUGGAGCGCGCGCAGGAAGUUCUUGUACGCCGACGACCAGGCAGAGAGGUUCAGGGAAGUCAACCGCAGGAUCGACUCCCACCUCAUCCUCAUCCCCUUGCUCAGCCAUAUCUCCAUUACCCGCCGCCUCGACCAGAUCUGUCCUCCGAAUCCCACCAGCGUUCUUUUACCAGUAGCGCCAACAAUGGUUGUUGGAUGUGCUUCUGCGCAGCUGCAGGUACGUACAUAUCCACCACAGUGAGAAGAACCAUUUUCAUCUUGUUGGUUUUGCAGCUUAAUUAAACCAUCGUCUUCCAUAGGAGCCUGCGAUGGUCCAGUAUGCAACUGUGGAGUUCGCGUCGGCGGAGAUCGCGGUCUUGACCGGAAACUUCGGCCAUGUGCUCAGCGAGGACGUCUCCGGAACGGUGUACAAGGGUCGUCUUCACGACGGCCUGGAGGUGGCGGUGAAGAGCCUGAAGAAUCACGGGCAGCAACGCCACGAACAAGAGGGUGCCUUCGUGGCGGAGCUCGAGACCCUCUGCCACCUCCGUCGCGACCACGUCGUGCACCUCGUGGGCUGGUGCGCGGAGGACGACGAUCGCAUGUUCGUCUACCAGUACCAGCACACGAGCAACGGCACGCUCAGGGACCACCUGCAGGGCGGCGGCUUUGCGUCGCCCGUGACGUCGUCCUGGAAGGCGCGUGUCCUGGCGCUGCUGGGCGCGUCCAGGGCCAUCGACCACCUGCACCGCGUGGCCACUCCGCGGAUCAUCCACCGCAACGUCAGCUCGUCGAGCAUCCUUCUGGACGAGAGCUGGGCGGCCCGCGUGUCCGGCUUCAGCGCGGCGGUUUUGCAAGAGCCGACGACCGACGGCCAGCUCGUCGGGGAGGUCGCCGGCACGUUGGGGUACAUCGAUCCGGAGUACCACCGCACGCGGCGUGUGAGUCCGGCGAGCGACGUGUACAGCUUUGGCGUCGUCAUGCUGGAGUUGCUGACCGGUAGGCCGCCUAGCUGGGAGAGCAAGGACCCGAACACCUUGGUUGGCUUUGCUGCCCCGAUCAUCGAGAGGGGGGACCUGGGGUCUGUGCUGGACCGGCGCCCGUCGCCGGCGCCGACCCCGGGGCAGAUGGAGGCGCUGAAGCUCGUGGCCUACACGGCAGCACGCUGUCUGUGGCCACAGCCACAGGACCGCCCCGCCAUGUCAAACGUGGUGACCAACCUCGAGGCGGCGCUCGGGCUCAUAGACAGCGAUGAGCCUAAGCAAAGCUAUUAGAGCCAGCUAGCGAUGAUGACUCGCCAAGACGUAAACUGCGUCACAACGAUACGUACCUUUAGCUUGUAAACAUGGUCUAGUUAGAAUGGACGUCUCGAUCGGCCGGUUUGUUUGGUGCUCAAAU